UACGUAGGGGGCAAGCGUUAUCCGGAUUCACUGGGUGUAAAGGGAGCGUAGACGGCGACGCAAGUCUGGAGUGAAAGCCCGGGGCCCAACCCCGGGACUGCUCUGGAAACUGCGUCGCUGGAGUACGGGAGGGGCAGGCGGAAUUCCUGGUGUAGCGGUGAAAUGCGUAGAUAUCACGCAGAACUCCGAUUGCGAAGGCAGCAUACCGGCGCCCGACUGACGCUGAAGCACGAAAGCGUGGGUAUCGAACAGG
RNAcentral lists this ribosomal RNA (253 nucleotides) under uncultured Eubacteriales bacterium. Its description in RNAcentral is "uncultured Clostridiales bacterium partial 16S ribosomal RNA". It matches the Rfam family "Bacterial small subunit ribosomal RNA", at positions 524 to 776 of the family's 1533-position model. Lineage: Bacteria; Bacillati; Bacillota; Clostridia; Eubacteriales. The record is from RNAcentral.